CGGGCUUAACACAUGCAAGUCGAGGGGCAGCAUGGUCUUAGCUUGCUAAGACUGAUGGCGACCGGCGCACGGGUGAGUAACACGUAUCCAACCUGCCGUCUACUCUUGGACAGCCUUCUGAAAGGAAGAUUAAUACAAGAUGGCAUCAUGAGUCCGCAUGUUCACAUGAUUAAAGGUAUUCCGGUAGACGAUGGGGAUGCGUUCCAUUAGAUAGUAGGCGGGGUAACGGCCCACCUAGUCUUCGAUGGAUAGGGGUUCUGAGAGGAAGGUCCCCCACAUUGGAACUGAGACACGGUCCAAACUCCUACGGGAGGCAGCAGUGAGGAAUAUUGGUCAAUGGGCGAGAGCCUGAACCAGCCAAGUAGCGUGAAGGAUGACUGCCCUAUGGGUUGUAAACUUCUUUUAUAAAGGAAUAAAGUCGGGUAUGCAUACCCGUUUGCAUGUACUUUAUGAAUAAGGAUCGGCUAACUCCGUGCCAGCAGCCGCGGUAAUACGGAGGAUCCGAGCGUUAUCCGGAUUUAUUGGGUUUAAAGGGAGCGUAGAUGGAUGUUUAAGUCAGUUGUGAAAGUUUGCGGCUCAACCGUAAAAUUGCAGUUGAUACUGGAUAUCUUGAGUGCAGUUGAGGCAGGCGGAAUUCGUGGUGUAGCGGUGAAAUGCUUAGAUAUCACGAAGAACUCCGAUUGCGAAGGCAGCCUGCUAAGCUGCAACUGACAUUGAGGCUCGAAAGUGUGGGUAUCAAACAGGAUUAGAUACCCUGGUAGUCCACACGGUAAACGAUGAAUACUCGCUGUUUGCGAUAUACAGCAAGCGGCCAAGCGAAAGCGUUAAGUAUUCCACCUGGGGAGUACGCCGGCAACGGUGAAACUCAAAGGAAUUGACGGGGGCCCGCACAAGCGGAGGAACAUGUGGUUUAAUUCGAUGAUACGCGAGGAACCUUACCCGGGCUUAAAUUGCAGAUGAAUUACGGUGAAAGCCGUAAGCCGCAAGGCAUCUGUGAAGGUGCUGCAUGGUUGUCGUCAGCUCGUGCCGUGAGGUGUCGGCUUAAGUGCCAUAACGAGCGCAACCCUUGUUGUCAGUUACUAACAGGUUCCGCUGAGGACUCUGACAAGACUGCCAUCGUAAGAUGUGAGGAAGGUGGGGAUGACGUCAAAUCAGCACGGCCCUUACGUCCGGGGCUACACACGUGUUACAAUGGGGGGUACAGAGGGCCGCUACCACGCGAGUGGAUGCCAAUCCCCAAAACCUCUCUCAGUUCGGACUGGAGUCUGCAACCCGACUCCACGAAGCUGGAUUCGCUAGUAAUCGCGCAUCAGCCACGGCGCGGUGAAUACGUUCCCGGGCCUUGUACACACCGCCCGUCAAGCCAUGGGAGCCGGGGGUACCUGAAGUGCGUAACCGCGAGGAGCGCCCUAGGGUAAAACUGGUGACUGGGGC
This 1434-nucleotide ribosomal RNA is filed under the name uncultured organism. RNAcentral describes it as "16S ribosomal RNA". It matches the Rfam family "Bacterial small subunit ribosomal RNA". The record is from RNAcentral.